Molecule: non-coding RNA, 271 nt
Organism: Pelobates cultripes (western spadefoot toad)
Lineage: Eukaryota; Metazoa; Chordata; Amphibia; Anura; Pelobatidae
Source: the annotation of a GenBank genome assembly
CCCAACGUGACAUUAACAUGUUUCCAUGCAUCUCCAUCCUCAUAGGAACGGCUCGUGUCCAUAUUGCAUAAACCUGGCUUAGAAAAAGGACGAUACUUGAAGGAUCACUAUAGUGUCGGAAAACUAAGCGGUUUUCCUGACACUAUAGUGCCCUGAGGGUGGCGCUGGUGAUCUCUCCUCCCCCGCCAACGUCAGCUCCCUCUGCCGACGUCAGCGGAUCCGAAUGCGCAUGAAAGCAUUUCUCAAUGCUUUACUAUGGACGCUCUCCGUG